This 1099-nucleotide small RNA is filed under the name Pan troglodytes (chimpanzee). Its description in RNAcentral is "retained intron". Lineage: Eukaryota; Metazoa; Chordata; Mammalia; Primates; Hominidae. The record is from RNAcentral.
CGAGGUGGGCUGGGGAGGGUCUGGGCUGAGUGCUGAGUGAUGCAGAAUGCUGGGGUGGACGGAGGCAGGACCCUUAGAUUUUGGGGAUGAAAUAAAAAGCUGGGCAGAGGGAAGGUGGGAUUUAGAUUUGACAUCAGUCUGUCACGUGGGGAAGACCAUUUGGAAGGAGGCCUGGGCCCUGGAAGCUGAGCUGGCAUGCUGACUGUGUCUCCCCCCAGCUAAGCCAGCACAUGAAACUGAAGCUGCAGUUCACCGCCAGCGUGUCCCACCCUCCACCCGAGGCCCGGCCCCUCUCCCGCAAGAGCAGCCCCAGCAGCCCUGCUGUCCGGGACUUGGUGGAGAGGCAUCAGGCUAGCCUGGGCCGCUCCCAGUCCUUCUCCCACCAGCAGCCUUCCCGAAGCCACCUCAUGAGGUCGGGCAGUGUGAUGGAGCGCAGAGCCAUCACGCCCCCUGUGGCCUCUCCUGUUGGCCGCCCCCUCUACCUGCCCCCGGACAAGGCUGUGUUGUCUCUGGACAAGAUUGCCAAGCGCGAGUGCAAGGUCCUGGUGGUGGAACCCGUCAAGUAGCACCGUGCCAGCUCUGUUCCCUCUUACACUCCAGAGACCCAACGCCCCCAGAGGGGAUCCCUGCUCCCAGGCUGUGCCUCCCCUGGGAUGCCUCCCAGACGGGGGUGAAGAGGCCUGGCAGAGCUGCCUGUCUGUGUCUGCUGAUGAGGGAUGGGGGAAGAAGCUGUGAAGUGGGCGGGCAUGGCUGGGACUAAGCCACCAGUAUUCCCCAAGUUCCUGUGGCGGGGGCUGGCCCCACCCCUAGGGUAAGGGUUCCCAGAGCUCCCUUGUCCCCGGCCCUUUACCCUGGUUCUGAGUUUACAAAGUCUCUUCCUCAUUCCCGUUGAGUUCUUUCCCACCUCUGACAUUCCCUCCCUCCCUCCCGCAGGGCUGAGAUUAGAGGGUGGUGAUGGCUAAGAGCCCCUGACAGUGACCUUCCUGUCUCAGGGGUUGGGGACAGGGCCAGGUAGCCUCCUGCCCCUUAUGUUUACCUUUGCAGCCUGAAGCACUUUAAUUUUUUUUUUUUUUUUGGUCUGUUCCUGUAACUUAUUUUC